This 65-nucleotide transfer RNA is filed under the name Somatochlora hineana. Its description in RNAcentral is "tRNA-Phe". The record is from RNAcentral. Lineage: Eukaryota; Metazoa; Arthropoda; Insecta; Odonata; Corduliidae.
ACUUGAGUAGCUUAUUUAAAGUUUAACAUUGAAGCUGUUAAGAAGAUCUUCCUGAUCCUUAAGUA